This is a long non-coding RNA of Apis florea (little honeybee), 384 nucleotides long. NCBI's taxonomy places the organism in Eukaryota, Metazoa, Arthropoda, Insecta, Hymenoptera, Apidae. The record is from RefSeq and is a predicted model, not a curated record.
GGUCAAAUAUUCAAUUUCCUAUUUUUCGUCCGAAACUUAAUUAAGAUGUAAAUUUAUUAAUUAAUUAUUACUUAAGAUUGUUUUAUCAUCGUAUAAUACGCUAUUCAAGCCAUUAUACACAGUGUAACGCAAUUGCAAUCUCGUUUUUAAUCGUUUAGAUUAGAUCAAUUGCAUCGACUGGCAUUCGAGUUACAAUGAGGCAUGCGAAAAUCAAUAUAAAUCGAUAACUGAAAAUCGAUUUACCCGAUACGAUAAACGACUAUGUAAUCGAUUUCGCGUAUAUUUUUUAAUAAAUGCAUAUACAUUUCUUUUUUUUUUAUUAAUUUAUAAUUCGUACGAAAAUACGUUUUAUGUGUUUCGCUUAAUGGCAAAUAUGAAUUAAUU